Peromyscus californicus insignis is the source of this 251-nucleotide long non-coding RNA. RefSeq lists it as uncharacterized. The record is from RefSeq and is a predicted model, not a curated record. NCBI's taxonomy places the organism in Eukaryota, Metazoa, Chordata, Mammalia, Rodentia, Cricetidae. The transcript is spliced from 2 exons.
UGGACUAAUAGCAACAUGCCAUGGCUGUUCUGCUGGCUUUAACUUACUUUCUGUUUUUCCUAUCUCGUGGAUGAGCACGAUAAAGCCAGCAUGAGCGAGUCUGAAGAUAAGGGGAGCAGACAGGCCUAGAGGAGGGCUGCAAGGCCGACCCAGCCCCGAAGCUCAGCUGUCCGGGCAGGGGGCUUGGACGCCGCGCUAGAGAGACGGGAAGAGCUCACCAAACCCACAUAAAAUAAAAAAAAUAAAAUAAA